CUACGGGAUGCACCAGUGAGGAAUAUUGGUCAAUGGGCGCGAGCCUGAACCAGCCAUCCCGCGUGCAGGAUGACGGCCCUAUGGGUUGUAAACUGCUUUUCUAUGCCAAGAAACCUGAUUACGUGUAAUCAGUUGCCGGUAGCAUAGGAAUAAGCAUCGGCUAACUCCGUGCCAGCAGCCGCGGUAAUACGGAGGAUGCAAGCGUUAUCCGGAUUCAUUGGGUUUAAAGGGUGCGCAGGUGGGCUUGUAAGUCAGUGGUGAAAUGCUGCCGCUUAACGGUAGAACUGCCAUUGAUACUGCGAGUCUUGAGUAUGGUUGAGGUGGGCGGAAUGUGUUGUGUAGCGGUGAAAUGCAUAGAUAUGAUACAGAACGCCAAUUGCGAAGGCAGCUUACUAAGCCAUUACUGACGCUGAGGCACGAAAGCGUGGGGAGCGAACAGGAUUAGAUACCCCCGUAGUC
This 459-nucleotide ribosomal RNA is filed under the name uncultured bacterium. RNAcentral's name for it is "partial 16S ribosomal RNA". It matches the Rfam family "Bacterial small subunit ribosomal RNA", at positions 339 to 795 of the family's 1533-position model. The record is from RNAcentral.